UAAUAGUCGGUGAUAUAAACUGGCGGCC
RNAcentral lists this small RNA (28 nucleotides) under Bombyx mori (domestic silkworm). RNAcentral describes it as "ovarian small RNA-19596". Lineage: Eukaryota; Metazoa; Arthropoda; Insecta; Lepidoptera; Bombycidae. The record is from RNAcentral.